UCUUUCUAGUUUGAUCUCUCUUACUUCCUGUAAAGUCCUUCCUUCUCCAUACUUUUCUGACAACUUUGGCAGAAGGCUACAUAGGUAGACCAUUGGAGGUAGCUGGAUCGCUCAUCUUACCGCCAUCUUCAUGCUCUAGGAUAAUUAGAACAUCAAAUCUGGAUCUAUUCAAUGGGUUAGGUCCUUGAUUUGGGUGAACCGAUUUGUUACCUAUUGGUUGCUUUAAGAUUCACACAUGAGCUGGUCGUUAGAAUUUCAUCCAUUCUCCAUAAAUUUCUUUCGGUGAAGAUUUGGGUGGAUCUACAGUUGUAUCAUGUGAUUUUGAGGCAAAGAAGAUGAAGUUUAGAUUGGUAAUAGAAUUGGAAGACAUGUACGCGUGCUCUCUAGAAGGCAGAGAAGUUCUGAAGCUGUUUUGCCUAUAAUGAUUGUAUUUCUUUAUUUUGUCAUUAUAAUUGACGAACAAUUUUGAUUUAUAAAGUUUGAUUUAAUAAUUUUAAAA
Molecule: long non-coding RNA, 499 nt
Organism: Prosopis cineraria
Lineage: Eukaryota; Viridiplantae; Streptophyta; Magnoliopsida; Fabales; Fabaceae
Exons: 2
Source: RefSeq, a predicted model, not a curated record